UACGGAGGGUGCGAGCGUUACCCGGAUUUACUGGGCGUAAAGGGCGUGUAGGCGGUUUUCUAAGUCCGGGGCUAAAGUCCAGGGCUCCACCCUGGGCUUGCCUUGGAUACUGGAAAGCUCGACGGCUGGAGGGGGCAGCGGAAUUUCCGGAGUAGCGGUGAAAUGCGCAGUGACCGGAAGGAACGCCAAUUGCGAAGGCAGCUGCCUGGACAGUACGUGACGCUGAGGCGCGAAAGCGUGGGGAGCAAACCGG
RNAcentral lists this ribosomal RNA (253 nucleotides) under uncultured bacterium. Its description in RNAcentral is "partial 16S ribosomal RNA". It matches the Rfam family "Bacterial small subunit ribosomal RNA", at positions 524 to 776 of the family's 1533-position model. The record is from RNAcentral.